This 209-nucleotide unclassified non-coding RNA is filed under the name uncultured Ceratobasidium. RNAcentral's name for it is "sequence contains ITS2". Lineage: Eukaryota; Fungi; Basidiomycota; Agaricomycetes; Cantharellales; Ceratobasidiaceae. The record is from RNAcentral.
AGCAAAUCUCAAAGUCAAUUCCUUUUAAUUUGGUUUUGCUUUGGACUUGGAGGUCUUGCAGAUUUCACAGUCUGCUCCUCUUAAAUGCAUUAGCUGGAUCUCAGUCUUAUGCUUGGUUCCACUCGGUGUGAUAAGUAUCACUCGCUGAGGACACUGUUAAAAAGGUGGCCAGGAAAAUACUGAUUGAACCGCUUCUAAUCGUCCCUUAA